RNAcentral lists this ribosomal RNA (253 nucleotides) under uncultured bacterium. RNAcentral's name for it is "partial 16S ribosomal RNA". It matches the Rfam family "Bacterial small subunit ribosomal RNA", at positions 524 to 776 of the family's 1533-position model. The record is from RNAcentral.
UACGUAGGGUGCGAGCGUUGUCCGGAAUUACUGGGCGUAAAGAGCUCGUAGGUGGUUUGUCGCGUUGUUCGUGAAAACUCACAGCUUAACUGUGGGCGUGCGGGCGAUACGGGCAGACUGGAGUACUGCAGGGGAGACUGGAAUUCCUGGUGUAGCGGUGGAAUGCGCAGAUAUCAGGAGGAACACCGGUGGCGAAGGCGGCUCACUGGACCGGAACUGACGCUGAGGCGCGAAAGCGUGGGGAGCAAACGGG